CACUGCAGUACCGCCGUUGAAG
Molecule: microRNA, 22 nt
Filed under: Heligmosomoides polygyrus
Lineage: Eukaryota; Metazoa; Nematoda; Chromadorea; Rhabditida; Heligmosomidae
Description: hpo-miR-40f-5p
Gene: hpo-miR-40f-5p
Source: miRBase by way of RNAcentral